RNAcentral lists this long non-coding RNA (946 nucleotides) under Homo sapiens (human). RNAcentral's name for it is "HSALNT0393692". The record is from RNAcentral. Lineage: Eukaryota; Metazoa; Chordata; Mammalia; Primates; Hominidae.
AAAAGAAUAAAUUUGUGAUAUAGUAAUACACACGUUUCUUUUUUUAAGCUAUUAAAUGACAAGAUCUAGCUGUGGGCCUAAGAACUAUAGUAAUUUCAAAGUAGCAAUGAGUACAAAUGAUAUUUUGAGAUACAGGACCUUAAUGUGACCUGAUAUGAAAAUAUUUGAUGUUUCUAUUGAUGACAAAGUCAUAGGUACUUAUACCGUGACUAUGACUUGUUGCCUAUUUUCUUUUUAAAAUUUCUAUUUAUGUAUCUAUGUAUCUAUGUAUCUAUGUAUCUAUGUAUCUAUCUAUCUUUUUUUAAAGCCUACAGCACCCAAUAUUCCCGGGCUGGCUCUCAUCCAAAUACUAACUGGGACUGACCCUUUUUAGCUUUUGAAAUCAGACGAGAUUGGGUGGAUUCAGGGUGGUAAGGAUGUAGAUGUCUAUUUUCACAAUGGAGAGAAAUGCCACAUUUUAAUUACAAGCUAAUGAAAUUAAGGUGUAAUUUUUUUUUUAUUUCUCAGUCUCAGAACCUGUGAUUUCUAUCCAUGGCUGUGGGCCCCAAAUUAAGAUCAACAGAGGUGAAGAAUGCCCCCAUGUUAAUGAAUUAUUAUGGCAAGAGGAUUAUAGAUACCAUAUGACUCUCUAGCCUCAGAGAUCCUGAAGCAGAGUCUAUGGAUCUCUCAGCCCUCAAAGACACUGUCUUGAAUUCUCCUGAUGUAGUAUAAAUGGAACAAAAAGAUGUUUUCUACUGCGAGGCACAGCGAAUGCUUAAACAAUGCCAUGGACCCCCUCCCACUUCAGGAACACAUUGUAGCGGAGUCUCCAAGGCAACAGUGUAGUCUUGUAGUCUUUAGAGGAAGAAGAAGCGAACUGCCAUGGUACUGUAGCUGCAACAUCAACUCCUGCCUGGGUCUUUAGCCUGCUGGCCUACCCUGCAGAUUUUGGACUUGCCAGCCUCCA